CAAACAUAUUAAUGUAAUAGUUCUGAUGCAAAUUAUGAUUCCCAAAAACUUGAGCUGCCUCCUUAGCAUGCAUCCGAUAUUUCUCCCCUUCCUCAGAGACCAUAGCUAGUCUCAGGGCCUUUGCUAUGCCAUUCCUGCUAAAAGACCCGUCUUCGCUUCUCUCUACUUCCACAGCUAACUCCUUUUCAACCAGAAACCUAGCAUUCAAAGGUUGAUCAGCCGUCAUUGGCAACACAACUAGACAAUGUCCAAAUUGUAAGGUCUCUAUCACAGAACCUAACCCAGAAUGAAACAGUGAUCCCCCAAUUGAUGGGUGUGCCAGAAUUUCCAUCUGUGGUGCCCAUCCUAUGCCCACAAUUCCUGUCUUACUCGUGCGCUGACCAAAACCUGAAGGUAAAGCAUCGAGAUCUUUGUUUGCCCAACUGGGUUUCCUGAGAGCCCAUAGAAAUGGCAAUCCUGAUAGCUCUAGCCCGUAAGCUAUCUCAUAAACCUGAUCUUUUGUCAGUUUGCACUCGCUGCCAAAUCCCACAAACACAACCGACUUAUGCUUCUGUUUGUCGAGCCAAUUGAAAAUGUUUCUCCAUGACUCAUCAAUGAAUUGUGUUUUUUCUGGUAUCAAUUGAGGGAGUAAACCUACUGGAAUCACUGGUUUUCCAAUCAGUUUCUCGUAAAGAUUUAUGUACUCACCUUCAUACUCACUGCAGGUACGGAAGGCCACUGCUUGACAACCCUGGAGAACCCUGGCAAGCCGUUCAGCAUCUGAUUUUCCUGAAGCGUUAUUUUCAUAGAAACCUGCAUGUAAACCAACUGCCUCAUAAAUCUUGAAAGCUAUUGAAGACGGUAAGUCGGCCCAUUCUGGCGGUUUUGUCCAACUUUCAGGUGACGACCGAAGCCUUUUUUGGCCAUCACCCACAAGAUAUUCCGGAGGCCCACAGAAAAG
RNAcentral lists this unclassified non-coding RNA (940 nucleotides) under Hevea brasiliensis (rubber tree). Lineage: Eukaryota; Viridiplantae; Streptophyta; Magnoliopsida; Malpighiales; Euphorbiaceae. The record is from RNAcentral.